UUUCACUGAGACCAGAGGAUCAAGAUCCGGCUCCGUGACACUACUGAUCUACUUGAUCAGAGACAACAGGUACGACUGGACAAUAACAACAUCCAAUUUAACCAGGUUUCCAGUGAACAAAACACCCCCGAGACUGAAAAAGUCCAAAGACUGAAGACAACUGCCAACCUACAAUAUAUCUGAUGUCGUUCUACCAACCAGAUUCUGUGUGCUUCUUCAGUAACUGUUUUGGAAAUCCCCCCUAAAGGUUGGCAGCCAUGUGGCAAUGAGACCUGAGCACCAGAAGGGGGCGCCACUACUGUGCGCACCGCAG
Molecule: non-coding RNA, 313 nt
Organism: Paramisgurnus dabryanus
Lineage: Eukaryota; Metazoa; Chordata; Actinopteri; Cypriniformes; Cobitidae
Source: RefSeq, a predicted model, not a curated record